RNAcentral lists this ribosomal RNA (253 nucleotides) under uncultured bacterium. Its description in RNAcentral is "partial 16S ribosomal RNA". It matches the Rfam family "Bacterial small subunit ribosomal RNA", at positions 524 to 776 of the family's 1533-position model. The record is from RNAcentral.
UACAUAGGGGGCAAGCGUUAUCCGGAUUUAUUGGGUGUAAAGGGUGCGUAGACGGAGAAACAAGUUGGUUGUGAAAUCCCUCGGCUCAACCGAGGACCUGCAACCAAAACUAUUUCCCUUGAGUGUCGGAGAGGAAAGUGGAAUUCCUAGUGUAGCGGUGAAAUGCGUAGAUAUUAGGAGGAACACCGGUGGCGAAGGCGGCCUGCUGGACUGUGACUGACGUUGAGGCCCGAAGGCGUGGGGAGCAAACAGG